Molecule: unclassified non-coding RNA, 244 nt
Filed under: Rhizophagus sp. (in: glomeromycetes)
Lineage: Eukaryota; Fungi; Glomeromycota; Glomeromycetes; Glomerales; Glomeraceae
Description: partial contains 5.8S ribosomal RNA and internal transcribed spacer 2
Rfam family: 5.8S ribosomal RNA (bases 1-65)
Source: RNAcentral
GUGAAUCAUCAAAUUUUUGAACGCAAAUUGCACUCUCUUCGGAGAGUAUGCCUGUUUGAGGGUCAGUAUCAACAAAAAAUCGGUUUGGUUGCAAAUUGUGACGUUUCCGGAGUUUGGGCUUAUCUUAAUUUUUUUGGUUAAGGGGCUUAAAAUUGACCUUAUUUGGGCAUUUUUAGAGGUACAUAAUUUUUUUUUUAUUCGUCUAUGGUUAAUGCCAAACUCUUAUUAGUUGCGAUCACAUCGG